RNAcentral lists this ribosomal RNA (253 nucleotides) under uncultured bacterium. Its description in RNAcentral is "partial 16S ribosomal RNA". It matches the Rfam family "Bacterial small subunit ribosomal RNA", at positions 524 to 776 of the family's 1533-position model. The record is from RNAcentral.
GACAGAGGUGCCGAGCGUUAGGCGGAAUCACUGGGCGUAAAGCGCGUGUAGGCGGUCUGUUAUGUCGGGUGUGAAAGCCCUCAGCUCAACUGAGGAAGUGCGCCCGAAACUGGCAGACUUGAGUGCCGGAGAGGAUAGCGGAACACCCGGUGUAGAGGUGAAAUUCGUAGAUAUCGGGUAGAACACCAGUGGCGAAGGCGGCUAUCUGGACGGACACUGACGCUGAGACGCGAAAGCGUGGGGAGCAAACAGG